GACGUAGGGCGCAAGCGUUUGUCCGAAUUUAUUGGGCGUAAAGAGCUCGUAGGCGGCUUGUUGCGUCGACUGUGAAAUCCCGAGGCUCAACCUCGGGUCUGCAGUCGAUACGAGCAAACUAGAGUGUUGCAGGGGAGACUGGAAUUCCUGGUGUAGCGGUGAAAUGCGCAGAUAUCAGGAGGAACACCGGGUGGCGAAAGGCGGAUCUCUGGGCAACAACUGACGCUGAGGAGCGAAAGCGUGGGGAGCGAACAGG
Molecule: ribosomal RNA, 256 nt
Filed under: uncultured bacterium
Lineage: Bacteria
Description: partial 16S ribosomal RNA
Rfam family: Bacterial small subunit ribosomal RNA
Source: RNAcentral